Cucurbitaria berberidis CBS 394.84 is the source of this 86-nucleotide non-coding RNA. NCBI's taxonomy places the organism in Eukaryota, Fungi, Ascomycota, Dothideomycetes, Pleosporales, Cucurbitariaceae. The record is from the annotation of a RefSeq genome assembly.
GGCUCAAUGGUCUAGUCGAAUGAUUCCUGCUUUGGGCUCUAUAUCUCAUAUGCAGGAGGUCCCGGGUUCAACUCCCGGUUGAGCCC